RNAcentral lists this long non-coding RNA (1099 nucleotides) under Homo sapiens (human). Its description in RNAcentral is "HSALNT0293101". Lineage: Eukaryota; Metazoa; Chordata; Mammalia; Primates; Hominidae. The record is from RNAcentral.
AUUUACACUAGGAUGUAAACAGUUUUUCAACUGUUUUUCACUGUGGGGGAUGAGAGUUUUUGAAGAAGGUAAGACUGAAGGAAUAACAGGAUGGGGACUAGGGUGAGCCAGAUGCCUAGGGUUCAACAUUUAAGGAGGCGCUCAUUCUCAAGUGAUAACUCCAGGCUCAGCACCUGAGACUGCCUCCUUAAAUGUCAUGCCCUGUUUGUGUUAUUUGCCUCGCUCUUAUCCCAGUCCUUUAAGGAUAAAGUUUAACCAGCUUUGGUUUCUGUUACUUGUGAUGAAGUAUCCUUAAUGCAUUUCCCUUCCCCACCCAUGAACUGAGGGAGUCAUUCUUCCUGGGAACACCCAUAAUAUCCUCUGAUUAUACCUAUACUAUACUUACAACACAGUUUUCUCACUAUUUACACAUCCAUAUGCAUCGGCACUCUGUGCGCUCCUUAAACAAAGAGACUGUGACAUAAUCUUCUUUAUAGCUGCAAUAUCUAGUCCUGUACCUGUUGAGUGGGGUUGCCUGUAGAUAUUAAAAGCCCUGAGGAAAUGUUCGAGGAGAGAGAGAAUCUAUCUAUAGCAAUCAUCUGAUUACAAAAAUAAUUAUAAAAGUCAUGGACCCAUGUGAGAUGGAGUGAUUUGCUGUUAAAGAGUCAAGACCUUAAUCACUGCAUCCCUAGAAUGUGACUCUUUUAAGGUUGGCUGCAGCCCUGCUUUCCAUAUAUAGUUAUCAGUGGUGAAGAUAGAUGAGAGGCCCUGGAUAGAUGAAAAGAGCCAUCCCAUUUGGGCAACCAGUGUCCAUCACUUGUUCAUCAAGGCUUACAACCAACCCAGAAGAGAAUGUCACCAUGUUUAUUAGAGGUAAAAAAGACAUUGAUUGAAAUGGCCCAUUGGCUUUGUGUUGCUACAGUCUCAAAAGCCCUGAAAGGAGGCAAGCAUUGCCAUGAUAAGUAGUGUCUGAUAUGUGACACGGAGCUUGCAGAGGGGUGGUGUGACUGCCCUAAUGCCAGCAGCAGGGUGACGGCAGGAGACCCCAGGAUAAAGGAUGUCUGCAGACACACAUACCUUUUUCAAGUGCUCUCCACUAGAGGUGGUUCCUUGGUCUGAC